GACGAACGCUGGCGGCGUGCCUAAUACAUGCAAGUCGAACGCAGUGGGGACGGGUGAGUAACACGUGGGUAACCUCCCAUCAGAGGGGAUAACCCUUGGAAACAGGUGCUAAACCGAUACUGAUGGAUGGACCCGCAGUGCAUUAGCUAGUUGGGGAGGUAACGGCUCACCAAGGCCACGAUGCCUAGCCGACCUGUGAGGGUGAGUGGCCACACGGGGACUGAGACACGGCCCAGACUCCUACGGGAGGCAGCAGUAGGGAAUCUUGGGCAAUGGGCGAAAGUCUGACCGAGCAACGCCGCGUGAGUGAAGAAGGUGUUCGGAUCGUAAAGCUCUGUUGUUAGAGAAGCGGUAUCUAAACAGAAAGCAACGGCUAACUACGUGCCAGCAGCCGCGGUAAUUC
Molecule: ribosomal RNA, 403 nt
Filed under: uncultured bacterium
Lineage: Bacteria
Description: partial 16S ribosomal RNA
Rfam family: Bacterial small subunit ribosomal RNA
Source: RNAcentral